Molecule: ribosomal RNA, 505 nt
Filed under: uncultured bacterium
Lineage: Bacteria
Description: partial 16S ribosomal RNA
Rfam family: Bacterial small subunit ribosomal RNA
Source: RNAcentral
AUUGAACGCUGGCGGCAGGCCUAACACAUGCAAGUCGAGCGGUAGCACAGAGAGCUUGCUCUCGGGUGACGAGCGGCGGACGGGUGAGUAAUGUCUGGGAAACUGCCUGAUGGAGGGGGAUAACUACUGGAAACGGUAGCUAAUACCGCAUAAUGUCGCAAGACCAAAGUGGGGGACCUUCGGGCCUCAUGCCAUCAGACGUGCCUAGAUGGGAUUAGCUAGUAGGUGAGGUAACGGCUCACCUAGGCGACGAUCCCUAGCUGGUCUGAGAGGAUGACCAGCCACACUGGAACUGAGACACGGUCCAGACUCCUACGGGAGGCAGCAGUGGGGAAUAUUGCACAAUGGGCGCAAGCCUGAUGCAGCCAUGCCGCGUGUGUGAAGAAGGCCUUCGGGUUGUAAAGCACUUUCAGCGGGGAGGAAGGCGUUAAGGUUAAUAACCUUGGCGAUUGACGUUACCCGCAGAAGAAGCACCGGCUAACUCCGUGCCAGCCGCCCGCCGUAA